GUUGGUUGCACCAGAAGUAGGUAGCUUAACCUUCGGGAGGGCGCUUACCACGGCGUGGUCAAUGACUGGGGUGAAGUCGUAACAAGGUAGCCGUAGGUGAACCUGCAGAAGGAUCA
RNAcentral lists this ribosomal RNA (116 nucleotides) under uncultured eukaryote. Its description in RNAcentral is "partial small subunit ribosomal RNA". It matches the Rfam family "Bacterial small subunit ribosomal RNA", at positions 1410 to 1525 of the family's 1533-position model. The record is from RNAcentral.